RNAcentral lists this ribosomal RNA (429 nucleotides) under Gemmatimonadota bacterium. RNAcentral's name for it is "Gemmatimonadetes bacterium partial 16S ribosomal RNA". It matches the Rfam family "Bacterial small subunit ribosomal RNA", at positions 355 to 776 of the family's 1533-position model. Lineage: Bacteria; Pseudomonadati; Gemmatimonadota. The record is from RNAcentral.
UAGGGAAUCUUCGGCAAUGGACGAAAGUCUGACCGAGCAACGCCGCGUGAGUGAAGAAGGUUUUCGGAUCGUAAAACUCUGUUGUUAGAGAAGAACAAGGACGUUAGUAACUGAACGUCCCCUGACGGUAUCUAACCAGAAAGCCACGGCUAACUACGUGCCAGCAGCCGCGGUAAUACGUAGGUGGCAAGCGUUGUCCGGAUUUAUUGGGCGUAAAGCGAGCGCAGGCGGUUUCUUAAGUCUGAUGUGAAAGCCCCCGGCUCAACCGUGGAGGGUCAUUGGAAACUGGGAGACUUGAGUGCAGAAGAGGAGAGUGGAAUUCCAUGUGUAGCGGUGAAAUGCGUAGAUAUAUGGAGGAAAACCAGUGGCGAAGGCGGCUCUCUGGUCUGUAACUGACGCUGAGGCUAGAAAGCGUGGGGAGCAAACAGG